AUAUCAAUAAGCGGAGGAAAAGAAACCAACAGGGAUUGCCUCAGUAACGGCGAGUGAAGCGGCAUCAGCUCAGAUUUGAAAUCCGGUCGCAAGGCCCGAGUUGUAAUCUGCAGAGGAACGUUCGGCAGAGGCGCCGGUCCAAGUCUCCUGGAACGGAGCGUCGCAGAGGGUGAGAGCCCCGUACGCGGCCGGCAGCCAACGCCGUGUGAACGUCCUUCGACGAGUCGAGUUGUUUGGGAAUGCAGCUCAAAGCGGGUGGUAAAUUCCAUCUAAGGCUAAAUACCGGCCAGAGACCGAUAGCGCACAAGUAGAGUGAUCGAAAGAUGAAAAGCACUUUGGAAAGAGAGUUAAACAGUAC
This 358-nucleotide ribosomal RNA is filed under the name uncultured fungus. RNAcentral's name for it is "eukaryotic LSU rRNA". It matches the Rfam family "Eukaryotic large subunit ribosomal RNA", at positions 40 to 398 of the family's 3401-position model. Lineage: Eukaryota; Fungi. The record is from RNAcentral.